UAGUCCACGCCGUAAACGAUGCGCACUAGGUAUGGGAGGCUCUGACGCCGAUCGUGCCGAAGCAAAAGUGUUAAGUGCGCCGCCUGGGGAGUACGGCCGCAAGGCUAAAACUCAAAGGAAUUGACGGGGGCUCACACAAGCGGUGGAGCAUGUGGAUUAAUUCGAAGCAACGCGAAGAACCUUACCUGGGUUUGACAUGUUUGGAUGCCCUUUUGGAAACAAGAGUAGGCUGCCUUCGGGUGAAACUUACACAGGUGCUGCAUGGCUGUCGUCAGCUCGUGCUGUGAAGUGUCAGGUUAAGUCCUUUAACGAGCGAAACCCCUAUCGUUAGUUGCCAGCGGGUCAUGCCGGGAACUCUAGCGAGACUGCCGGUGUCAAACCGGAGGAAGGCGGGGACGACGUCAAGUCAUCAUGGCCUUUAUGCCCAGGGAUUCGCACGUGCUACAAUGGUUCGUACAGAGCGACGCGAUAUCGUGAGAUGGAGCAAAAUCGCAGAAAGCGAG
RNAcentral lists this ribosomal RNA (503 nucleotides) under uncultured bacterium. Its description in RNAcentral is "bacterial SSU rRNA". It matches the Rfam family "Bacterial small subunit ribosomal RNA", at positions 791 to 1285 of the family's 1533-position model. The record is from RNAcentral.